UAUUGAUUGGGGGCGCUGAUCUGAGUGACAGUGUGAAUGAGGAUCCGAGCACCUCCAUUUCUUCUGAUAUGUUCUUCUACAUCUUCAUAGCGAGUCGAUGGCUGCCGAAGACUCUUCUUUCUCAGAUCUGAGUUUUGGUGGGAACCUUCAACCAGGAACAACCAAGGUGAGGUUAAGAGAAAUAAAGAGAGAGAAUUUUGGGGCUGAUAGUUUUCAGGGGAGAAGAAGAUCCAAUCGGUGGGGGACCUAAAUCUGAAAAAUUCAGAGGUAACGUUAGGUAGUAACCUUUUGGGAAGGAGAAAUUGUUGACACCAAGAAUUAUACUUUCUUCACUGGCAAAUGGGAAGCAACACCAGAGGAUGAUAUAAGGCACUGGACCAAGUUUUCUUCUUUUAAUUCUUUACUUCCGUAGGGAACGUGAAUAUAAGGCGACCAUCAAGUUUGCUUCGAAGCCAGACUUACAUCAUCUGCGACAGUUUUUAUAGAGCAGGCAACUUGAUGCUCCUCAAGAGACAAUUCAAGCACUGGAUGUUGCUCUCAGAGGAGAUCCAUCGGAUAAGUAAUUCAAUACUGCCUUCAGGCUUUAGAACAAAAUGCUAUUCUUUAUAAAAUUUUCUUACUGCUUUACUAUUUUUUUUCAUCUGAAAAUUCAGUGCCUGGUAGUUUAUUUUGGUUUGUAUAUGUUAUGUAACUUGAUAAUAAUGUACUCUGUAUGUUGUUAAAAGUGCUGAGUUUUUUUUAGUUGAUGGCUUGAGUGUAUGUAUAUCUUUAACUGCAGGUAUACUGUUGUUGGGAGGUUGUUUUUUCACCUCACACUGGGGCGUCCUGUCAUUUGCAGAAUACAAGGACUUAUAAGAUUACUGGGAUAUCGACAGAGCCACUGAACAAAUUAAUGUUUACUCUUGAUGAUAAGAUGACAUAGAUUUCAGUUGCUGCUUAAACAUUACCAUUAAACUACAUACACUCGGUUUGUUGCUUCUUCUAUUUGCAGGUUCAACAAGCUUUUUCAGACCUGGAGAGGUAAUUUCAGUGCUUUUUUGGGUACAGGAAUCUUGUAAACAUGCUAGUGUUAUUCUUUAAUGGGUGCUUAAGUUAGUUCAAACCUUCGCAGUGGAAAUUACCAACAUAUGUAAUAUCUAACUAAGUUCUAUAUUGUAUUAGUUUAUAAUAAAAAUGGCUGCUUUAAGAAGUCAUUGGCAGCCAACAUAUUUGAUUAUGCAUGUAUUUGUUUGCUCUUAAAUUGUAGCAGUAGCAUCCUUUGGCUAAA
Molecule: long non-coding RNA, 1267 nt
Organism: Humulus lupulus (European hop)
Lineage: Eukaryota; Viridiplantae; Streptophyta; Magnoliopsida; Rosales; Cannabaceae
Exons: 6
Source: RefSeq, a predicted model, not a curated record